GGAUGAACGCUAGCGAUAGGCUAACACAUGCAAGUCGAGGGGCAGCACGGUGUAGCAAUACACUGGUGGCGACCGGCGUACGGGUGCGUAACACGUAUGCAACCUACCCGCUAUUGGGGGAUAACCCGGCGAAAGUCGGACUAAUACCCCAUAUUAUUCUUACCGGGCAUCCGGUAGGUCUGAAAGAUUUAUCGAUUGCGGAUGGGCAUGCGGAUGAUUAGCUAGUAGGUGGGGUAACGGCUCACCUAGGCGACGAUCAUUAGGGGUUCUGAGAGGAAGGUCCCCCCACACUGGAACUGAGACACGGUCCAGACUCCUACGGGAGGCAGCAGUGAGGAAUAUUGGUCAAUGGGCGCUAGCCUGAACCAGCCAAGUCGCGUGAAGGAUGAACCAGAUCUAUGGUUUAUAAACUUCUUUUGCAGGGGAGUAAAGUGCGACACGUGUGUUGUAUUGCAAGUACCCUGCGAAUAAGCAUCGGCUAACUCCGUGCCAGCCGCCGC
This 500-nucleotide ribosomal RNA is filed under the name uncultured bacterium. RNAcentral describes it as "bacterial SSU rRNA". It matches the Rfam family "Bacterial small subunit ribosomal RNA", at positions 27 to 518 of the family's 1533-position model. The record is from RNAcentral.